CGGUUGAUCCUGCCGGAGGCUACUGCUAUUGGAAUUCGACUAAGCCAUGCGAGUUUAAAGGACUUCGGUCCUUGGCAGACGGCUCAGUAACACGUGGAGAGCCUGCCCUCAGGAGGGGGAUAACCCCGGGAAACUGGGAAUAAUACCCCAUAGGCCUAGAAUGCUGGAAUGCUUUUAGGCCGAAAGCUCCGGCGCCUGAGGAUGGCUCUGCGGCUUAUCAGGUUGUAGUGAGAGUAACGUCCUCACUAGCCUAUGACGGGUACGGGCCCUGAGAGGGGAUGCCCGGAGAUGGACUCUGAGACACGAGUCCAGGCCCUACGGGGCGCAGCAGGCGCGAAAACUCCGCAAUGCUCGAAAGAGUGACGGGGGGAUUCCAAGUGCCUACGCUUAGCGUAGGCUGUUCGGAUGCCUAAAAAGCAUCUGGAGUAAGGGCUGGGUAAGACGGGUGCCAUCUGCAGCGGCAGUGAAAGAUUUGACUUGCUGCUGCAAGGCAUAAGCCGCCGCGGUAAUACCCGCAGCCCGAGUGGUAGUCGAUUUUAUUGGGCCUAAAGCGUCCGUAUCCGGUCUGAUAAAUGCUUGGGUAAAUCGUCUGGCUUAACCAGACGAAUUCCGGGUA
RNAcentral lists this ribosomal RNA (616 nucleotides) under uncultured archaeon. RNAcentral's name for it is "bacterial SSU rRNA". It matches the Rfam family "Archaeal small subunit ribosomal RNA", at positions 5 to 581 of the family's 1478-position model. The record is from RNAcentral.